RNAcentral lists this transfer RNA (64 nucleotides) under Cavia porcellus (domestic guinea pig). It matches the Rfam family "tRNA". Rfam says of the family: Transfer RNA (tRNA) molecules are approximately 80 nucleotides in length. Their secondary structure includes four short double-helical elements and three loops (D, anti-codon, and T loops). The record is from Rfam by way of RNAcentral. Lineage: Eukaryota; Metazoa; Chordata; Mammalia; Rodentia; Caviidae.
UGGGAUUUAGCUUAGUGGUGUAAGUAUCUGCCUGGCAAGCAUAAGGUCAUGAUUUCAAUCCCUG